UUUUCUUUACUGUUCCUUAAUUUUCAGUUGCGUUAGUCCGUGGUACGUCCGUCCUCAGUUCCUCACCCCCGAGCGAAAAAGCAGCAACCGAUCCCCACGGGAUACCCAAAUCAAUCAAUCAAUCAAUCAGUGCCGCGAUUAACUCCAGCGCUCGCCCAGAAAAACCAUCGGUACAGCAAACCAACCGGGUAUCCACCAACUGCAUCUUCUUCCACCGCACUCCCGAUUAUCUCCAAUCCCGUGAUUAUCUCCAGGAAUCGAGCCGCCCGCGUGAGACCGUGAUCGCCGCCUUGACUCAAGCCGCCGCACAAGCAACCGCCUCCUCAGAUCGAUGCCGGCGCCUCCAUCCUCCUACAACCGCUCGCCGUCGACCUCGACAACGCCCCUCGGCGCCACCUCACGGGAAUCACCUCGACGUCGCCACUAGCCGCCACCUCACGGGAAUCACGUCCAUGUACGGGAAUCGCCACCGCCAUCGACCACGAUCCGGCCACCGCCCCGCCGGCUGCUGCUACAUUGCCGGCGCCCCGCCGGCCGUUGCUGUAUUGUAUCGCUGGGGAGAAGGGUCUCCGUGGGCAGUUCCGUAUUCGAGCCCGUCUCACGCUCGAGGGCGGCUGUCGGAUCAGGAAUCGACAUGGGAGGCAAGCAGGGGACGCAGCAUACGGCGACACGCACGUGUUUCUCACGGUGGGCCAAUCGACAUGGGAAGCAAGCAGGUCUCGAGCGCCCCGCGCCCGGGAGCAGCGUGCAUGCACAUGGAGGCACGGCUGUGCUGAUUGCACAAAACGUGUUUGACGAAAUGGCUCAAGGGUGCUGUGUUCACAAGAAAUGCUGUGCAGGACGCCCAUGUGGAUGAAUCUCCUGGUCUGCAAUUUGUAUGUUUGCUUUGGAGUUGCAUCCAUUGGACGUUGCAGAUCAUAUCAGAAUUCAAAGGUUUUUCCAUCCAGUUACAUUUCAGAUAAAGUGGUUCCAGUGUGCUCGCCGUUCUAAGGAGCAUGCUUGCCGUUCCAGCGUGCCGCAACCAAAAGGCUCGCCGGAAUACUUGCCACAUGCUACAACUUAUCCAAUCUUAAGUAGUUCACAGUUGCAUCGAGUAGACUUCUCCAACUGUUCUUCCUGCAUCCAUGGUAUGUGCCUCUUUCAAAUCUCCACUACCACUUGUAUAACUAGCUGAUUUCACUCAGCUCACAAAUCAAAACUUCAGAUUUUUAUUCAUCAGUAGUGUCAAGUGUGCUUGAAACUACUAGCGAUAUCAUAUAACAGUGCUUGGGAAUAAUUUCAGGAAAAAAAUAUAGUUUUUGUUGGCUAGGAGGUGCCUAUAAAGUGUAUCUUCUGCAUCUUGGCUUAAACACUUUCCAACAUAUAUGAAAUGUAAUGGCAACACUAAACACAAUGUGAUGUGUCUUGAGCAAAUCAUCAAUGAGCAUGACCAAAGCUGGUGAGCUUGAUGGAGGAGCUCGGCCAAGAGAGGUGUACCUUGUGUGUCAUAUCUCAAAAAAUCAUAUACCGAGAUGUCUUGCAGGAUCUCACUAACAGGUACAAUUAAUUAUUGAUUGAGCCGUGUUGCAUAAAUGCCUACAUACAAAUCAUAAUCUCCAAGAUGCCUGUAAUCUACCUUCUGUGAUUCUAUCCUAUUAUACAGAACAGGUACCAAACUAUGCCAGUUGUUAACAUCAAGUCAUGUUCUUGUUUCUUCAGUCUCUCUUUCCUAAAAAAGUUGUGUACUCUGGCAUAUCUUAUAUUUGGUGAGAAGAUCAUUUGGUAGAAAUGAGGGGCUUGAAGAUACCAAUGGGAGGCUGUAGAGAAUGGCCACGUUGUUCUUGUAGGCUGUUAGUGAAGGUUUGCUCCUACCAUUUCAUCAGCUAAUAGAUGUGGUCCCAAGUGUUUUUAUCGUCAAUGCUCAGGAUCUUUGUUUCCAAUUUGCCUCUCAGGCAUAUUUUUUAUUGUAAUAUAACUACUUGAACAAGCUUGCCCUAUUAAUAGAUUGUUCCGGUUUACGUUUCC
Molecule: long non-coding RNA, 2004 nt
Organism: Brachypodium distachyon (stiff brome)
Lineage: Eukaryota; Viridiplantae; Streptophyta; Magnoliopsida; Poales; Poaceae
Exons: 4
Source: RefSeq, a predicted model, not a curated record